GUUUUAUCAAAAAUAUUUUUGCUUUUCGACGUUUUUGCAGUAAAUUCUCGUUGUUUUUUUUAUAUUUUUUCGACUUUUGACCAUUGGUUCAAAGAUUUAAAAGUCGUACACGCUAUUCUCACCCGCGAAAGACAAAAAACCGAUAUGAAAGCCCCGAAAAAUUUAGGCAAAGACGAUAUUUGAUGGCACAGCUAUUCAGGUAAAUUUUCACAUACUAUUGAUAUGCUUUUAUUUUUAAUUUUUGAAUGAUAGUGGGAGUAAAUGGUAGAAUAUAAUCCAUUAGAUAACAGGCUCUUUGUAUAGUAUAAUGUAUUAUUUUCCGCCGUGUACUCAAAGUCUUGUCGUAGGCUACUGACAAAUACAGAAACUUUGUUUUUAUAUUCAAAGUUUUUUUUGUUUUUUUUUUACUUUACUAGCUUUGUUAAAUUGUUGGCGGACCAUGGUUUUUGUUAAACAAAUUUUGUUUUAUUUAAUUCAGUUAAAUCAGUUUUUUCCCUCAAAUCAAAGGGGUUUUCUAUAUAGACUAUAUGGACUGAUGGCUGAAAUCUGACAUGCUUGAUUUUAUGCAAUUGUAUGUGCUAAAUAAGUGUAUAUACAGGUAUAAAGGCAUGAAACAAUGUGCUUCUAUCUAUAUUCUUUGUGUUUAUAUAUGCUAGAGUCCGUGUUUAUUAUAGUAUGCAUAAUCUAGGGUGCCAGUAGAAGCUAGCCUAGGGGUGCCAGAAGCUCAGGAUACUGUGGCCAACUUAUCUGGUAAUAUGAUUUCUACCUAGAUUUCUGACUGUCAUGUUGAAUUGAGGAUUCUUGAACCACUAGAAAUAGGAUUGUACUUCCUGAAUGUUGGGUACGAAUCACAAGUGUAGGUAUAAGCAAAGUAUCUAGAUUAUAGGGUUGCACUGGAUCUCAUUAUACAGGCCAGAACUGAGAAAGUCACACAUGCUAGUCAGACAUCAAGUCAGAAACAAUUUAAUUGGUAGAUAAUGUCACUUCCAGUCCAUGCAGGUGGAUUUAUUUGGGGUUUUGUUCAUUUCAGUCCUCUCUCUGUGCACCCCUGUAUGAUGCAACUACCUGAAACUAACUAAAUCAAUGAACUUCAACAUUUCAGGUGAAAGACCUAUAGUAUUAUUUUUGAGGUAGUUGCAUGCAUGAUACAUUUAAGCCUUUAAAUAGUGUGGUGGCUUAAGCUGUUUUCUCAUUUCCUUUCUUCACUUCUUUUGUCUGUAGUGAAAACUUUAAUUUACAACAUUUUAAUUAUAUAAUCUCUUUUUGGUCUAAUUGCAGAAUUAUUUGAUGGUGAUACAGUUCAUAGUAAUUCAACCUCUUUAUUAAAGAAUUAUCAAUUAUUAGAAAGAAUUAAUUUUGUUAGCAGUGAUAUAACUAUCCAGACAAGUUAUUAUUAUGACUUUGUAGCCAGAUGGGUAUGAUUUUGCUUUGGCUGUUCAGCAUUUUGAUCCAUUGUGAUAUGUCUUGUGGUACCUGUGAAUGAUUUUACCUGCAAAAUGAAUGACAGAAUAUCAGAAUGUAACAUUACAUUAAGAUACAUCCUUACACUGCAAUAUAAUUAUGUAAAUAUAGAUGUUCAGUGUGAAGAAUAUGGUCUUUGACAUUCUUUGUAUAUAAUAAACAUGUUAUUGUGAAAUGGAAAUGAUCAAAUAAAGUUAUUUCUGCAACAGCCCUUGCAUUCAAACACCUUAUUUGUAUUUUUCUUGUUCAUGCUUGAGCAUCAGCCUCAGGAUAAGCAAAUUCCAUUGGAUUUGUGAGAGCACUUGAACUAUAUUGGGUCAUUACAUGAAUUACAGAAAAGAUUCAGACUCCCACAGCCUGUGCUACAAAACAGGUUACAGCUGUGACAAUGUAGAGGGGUGAUCCAAAUAAUAAAAAUGAUGUUUAAUAUGGACUUAAAAUUAUUAAGCAAUUGAGUGCACCAGUACUUUCCUCUUUAACAAAUAAAAUUAUCUAGCAUUGGACUGAGCAAGAUAACAAAGUAGGGCACAGUGCCCCUUAAUUAAUCACUUAAUUAAAGGUUUAAAUGCUGAAUUUUUUGAAAGUGCCAGAGUGGCAACUGGCAGGCUAUACUGAAAAGGUAGGUUGUGGACAUGCAUCCUAAGU
RNAcentral lists this long non-coding RNA (2106 nucleotides) under Paramuricea clavata. The record is from RNAcentral. Lineage: Eukaryota; Metazoa; Cnidaria; Anthozoa; Malacalcyonacea; Plexauridae.